CAUAUCCGAUAACUCCUGUGCCUCUUUCUCUAUGCCAUUUGGACGGAGGAAUUCACAAAACAGAUAAGUCAGCGCUUGCUAAAUCUCUUGAGGCAAAAAUCGACCAUGAUCCACCAAGUCACGCUGAUGUAUAUUUGAUUGACGGUUUCUUUAUUCUACAUGCUAUGAAAGAAGUACCCAGGACUUUUGCAUUUGGAAAAAUGCUCAUGCGAAUGAGCCCACAUCACUGAAUCCCCUUGAAUACGGCUGGAUGGAGAUGGAAAACCGUUACGUAUUUAAGUGGUUCGAAGGAGACCAACUUCCUUGCUUUGUCAGCGACUUGAUUCUAAAUCCUGAAGAAUCUGACUUGGAGGAUGAAGAUGACUUGUCACUUUCUGAAGACGAUUCCGAAGAUGAAAAUUAAUUAUAAAAUAUUUCAUGAUUAUUUCAUUGUUAUAAAUUAUUUCCAAAAAUAAAUAUAUUCUGAUAUGAAUAAUGAA
RNAcentral lists this unclassified non-coding RNA (479 nucleotides) under Neodiprion pinetum (white pine sawfly). Its description in RNAcentral is "uncharacterized LOC124218890, transcript variant X3". The record is from RNAcentral. Lineage: Eukaryota; Metazoa; Arthropoda; Insecta; Hymenoptera; Diprionidae.